UACGUAGGGGGCAAGCGUUGUCCGGAUUUAUUGGGUUUAAAGGGUGCGUAGGCGGCCCUGUAAGUCAGUGGUGAAAUACUCUAGCUUAACUAGAGGGGUGCCAAUGAUACUGCAGGGCUUGAGUACAGAUGAGGUAGGCGGAAUUGACGGUGUAGCGGUGAAAUGCAUAGAUAUCGUCAAGAACACCGAUAGCGAAGGCAGCUUACUGGGCUGUAACUGACGCUGAUGCACGAAGGCUAGGGUAGCGAACGGG
Molecule: ribosomal RNA, 253 nt
Filed under: uncultured bacterium
Lineage: Bacteria
Description: partial 16S ribosomal RNA
Rfam family: Bacterial small subunit ribosomal RNA
Source: RNAcentral